CUGACGAGUGGCGGACGGGUGAGUAAUGUCUGGGAAACUGCCUGAUGGAGGGGGAUAACUACUGGAAACGGUAGCUAAUACCGCAUAACGUCGCAAGACCAAAGAGGGGGACCUUCGGGCCUCUUGCCAUCGGAUGUGCCCAGAUGGGAUUAGCUAGUAGGUGGGGUAACGGCUCACCUAGGCGACGAUCCCUAGCUGGUCUGAGAGGAUGACCAGCCACACUGGAACUGAGACACGGUCCAGACUCCUACGGGAGGCAGCAGUGGGGAAUAUUGCACAAUGGGCGCAAGCCUGAUGCAGCCAUGCCGCGUGUAUGAAGAAGGCCUUCGGGUUGUAAAGUACUUUCAGCGGGGAGGAAGGGAGUAAAGUUAAUACCUUUGCUCAUUGACGUUACCCGCAGAAGAAGCACCGGCUAACUCCGUGCCAGCAGCCGCGGUAAUACGGAGGGUGCAAGCGUUAAUCGGAAUUACUGGGCGUAAAGCGCACGCAGGCGGUUUGUUAAGUCAGAUGUGAAAUCCCCGGGCUCAACCUGGGAACUGCAUCUGAUACUGGCAAGCUUGAGUCUCGUAGAGGGGGGUAGAAUUCCAGGUGUAGCGGUGAAAUGCGUAGAGAUCUGGAGGAAUACCGGUGGCGAAGGCGGCCCCCUGGACGAAGACUGACGCUCAGGUGCGAAAGCGUGGGGAGCAAACAGGAUUAGAUA
This 700-nucleotide ribosomal RNA is filed under the name bacterium SM7. Its description in RNAcentral is "bacterial SSU rRNA". It matches the Rfam family "Bacterial small subunit ribosomal RNA", at positions 88 to 784 of the family's 1533-position model. The record is from RNAcentral.